AGACAUUACAAAAUAGAUCGAUCCUCCAGUGAACCUUAUGACACGUCUAGAUUCAGAAGUGCAGAAUAUGAGCAAAGACACAAGCAACUAAAUAAAAAGAAGAUUGUGUGUAAAAAAGGAUUUUUCUGCUCUAAAGGGGAAGAUAAAUUCAAAAGGAGAAACGGGGGGAUACCUAGCUGACCCUGAGAGAAACAUAAAGUGUGACAUAGUGAAGAAGUUACAUUCUAAUGUGUAUCCAGCUGCAUAUGAACAAAUAAAUAUUAUUUAAUAGAUUAGAGAUUGUCAAAUCAAUUUUGACAUAGAAACAAUCAACUUAUUCAUGGGAAUCCUUU
Molecule: long non-coding RNA, 332 nt
Filed under: Lathyrus oleraceus (garden pea)
Lineage: Eukaryota; Viridiplantae; Streptophyta; Magnoliopsida; Fabales; Fabaceae
Description: Pisum sativum (pea) long non-coding RNA (PSAT_LNC026739)
Source: RNAcentral